UACGGGGGGGGCAAGCGUUGUUCGGAAUUACUGGGCGUAAAGGGCUCGUAGGUGGCCAACUAAGUCAGACGUGAAAUCCCUCGGCUUAACCGGGGAACUGCGUCUGAUACUGGAUGGCUUGAGUUUGGGAGGGGGAUGCGGAAUUCCAGGUGUAGCGGUGAAAUGCGUAGAUAUCUGGAGGAACACCGGUGGCGAAGGCGGCAUCCUGGACCAACACUGACACUGAGGAGCGAAAGCCAGGGGAGCAAACGGG
This 253-nucleotide ribosomal RNA is filed under the name uncultured bacterium. Its description in RNAcentral is "partial 16S ribosomal RNA". It matches the Rfam family "Bacterial small subunit ribosomal RNA", at positions 524 to 776 of the family's 1533-position model. The record is from RNAcentral.